GUUUUCCUUCUACAGACACUGCCAGCCAUAUCAUAGCACAAAAUAAAAACAUUUUACGUGUUUUUUUUAGUAUAAUUGAAACGAAAAAAAUAGAUCUCAAAAGCUUUUCUGUUUUUAUUGUCCGCUACGUUUAUUGUCAUCGACCAAAAUGCCUAUUUUAUUGCAUUUUGGGAAAACGCAGUGGGCGUCUUCUUUGAAAUUAUCCUGCGUUGCAUUGAUGGUAUUUCUGGCCUGUCCAGUGAAUUCCAUGGAUGUGCUGGUGCCACCACAGAUCCUCACUCUCAAUGGGACUGAUGUCAGAAUCCCCUGUGCAUUCACUUCAUGCUACAAACUGGACCCCAGCAAGUUUGCCAUGAACUGGACCUAUCAGGAGACAAGCAACAGUACAGAAGAAAUUUUCAUGACCUAUAAGAACAAGAUAACACCCUUGAAGUCGACCCGAUUUGGAGAUCGAGUCAUAUUUUCUGGAAACCUGGAUAAGAACGACCUGAGCAUCACUAUCUCAAAUGUGCAGUUGACAGACGAGGGCAUCUACAACUGCUAUGUGCGCAACCCUCCAGACCGCAUUCGGGGCCACGGCAUCAUUCAGGUCUUCGUCCCGACUGAAUUGCCGCCACCAAGAGAUUCGACCAUUGCUGUUGCCAUUGGGGCAUCUGUGGGGGGAAUUCUAGCUUUGCUCAUUCUGUCCAUGGUAGUGGUGAAGUGUAUUCGCAGACAUAAGAACCAGGAGCUGAUCUCAGAUGAGCAGAAGAUGGAGGAAGAGGGCAAAGCAGAUGGAGAAGGAGGCACAGAAGAAGCAACAAAGUAAGAAUUUCUUUGUUUCUUUUUUUUUUUUCGUAAUAAAGAGUUAUUCUCUAUAAACAAACUGCUAACUUUGAAUCCUGAAACAGACAGCCCUAACCGCCAUCUUAGCCCUGGAGGUCUAACGGAUGGUGGAGCUCAAUCCUACACAUUCUGGUAAAAAUAAUUGCUAGCAAGUGUGUUUUGGUGGGUCAUGUGACUGUGGUUGACAGUAGCCCUUUCAAGUUCUCCAUCUUCGUUUCAUUAGCCUGUUCUUUAUGUUUUAUGAGUUCGGGACCCGAAUUACCUGGUUACUAUCAAUAUGUUUGUAGUCUUGCUUUAUCUGGUUGGGUUCUGUAAUGUCUUUGUGCUUGUGGUAUGUUUGUGGUAUUUUUUUCUACAUAACUGCAAAUGACCUGCACUUGCAACAAGUUCUUUUAACAUAUAUAGCCAAUAAUCUUACUUUUCUUAUUUUUUUUCAAAUACCAAAGUUGUACCUAUAAAUAACCUGUAUAUACCUACUGUACAUAAAAAAUGGCAUUCUAGUUGCUUGUCAAUUUCAGUUACAAAAAGGGCAAUUAACACAUUUAAUUAAAUGUGACAUUUUGAAGUAGAAAAAAACUGAAACAGUAUUUUCUAAAAAUAUACUUCAACAAUCAGUUUUAUAUACAUAUUGUGCAACUGUACAGAUACUGUACCUCAUUGGUCACAAACUCAAUUCCUGGAUGGCCACAGCUCUGCACAGUUUAGCUCCAACCCUAAUCAAACACACCUGAUCCAGCUAAUCAAGGCCUUCGGGAUUACUAGAAACUUCCAAGCAGGUUUAAUUUGGAGCUGGUUGGAGCUAAACUCUACAGUCAUGGCAGUGACAUAAAUUUUGUGUUUUGCAAAGUUUGCUGCUUCAGUAUUUGUAGAUUAAUUUUCCACAUGUUUCUAUGUUAUACUGAAGAACAAUAAUAAUUUACAGUGUUGACCCUUGUUCUUCAUAACCUCUGCAAUUAGUUCUGGCAUGCUGGAUAUUAGCUUCUAGACCAAAUCCUGACUGAUGGUGAUCCAUUCAGUUCUCUGAGUUGAUCACAAUUUGUGGGCUUCUGCUUGUCCACUCGCCUUUUGAGGACUGACCACAGGUUCUCUAUGGGAUUGAGAUCCGGGGAGUUGCCUGGCCACAGAUCCAAAAUUUCAAUGUAAUGAUCUUCGAGCCACUUCUCUAUCAUUCUUGCUUCGUGACAUGGUGCUCCAUCAUGCUGGAAAAUACACAGAUCAUCACCAAAUUGCUUAUGGAUCGUUGGAUGAAGUCGCACUUGCUGGAAGUUUUGAUACCAUUGUAAGAGAGCCCACUCCCUUGGUUGAAAAGCAACCCUACACAUGGAUGGUCUCAGGAUGCUUCACUGUUGGCACAACACAGAACUCAUGGUAGCAUUCACCUUUUCUUCUCCAAACAAUCGAUUUUCCAGAUGUCCCAAACAGUCGGAAGGUAGCUUCAUCAGAGAAAGUAACUUUGCACCAGUCUUCUGCUGUCCAAUCCUUGUACUUCCUGCAGAAUUUCAAUCUGUCCUUGAUGUUUUUCUUGGAGAGAAUUGGCUUCUUUACUGCCCUUCUUGACACCAGGUCAUUGUCCAAAAGUCUUGGCCUCACUGUGCAUGCAGAUGCUCUCACACCAAUCUGCUGCCAUUCCAGAGCAAGCUCUGCACUGCUGGUGACACGAUUCCAUAGCUGACUCCUCAGGAGGAGACAGUCCUAGCGCUUGCUGGACACUCUGGGACGUCCUGAAGACUUCUUUACUGCAGUCAAACCUCUCUCCUUGAAGUUCCCUAUCCAAAGCUACUCUUGAUGCUGCGCUCAAUAGCGCUAAUGAGAACAUUCUUUGUUCAACCGGUUGUUAGCAUUUGUGUCAGACACGCCAAGAAUUGGCUUAAAUAACCUCAGCAGGUGAUGUCAUCUGAUUACGUGAACCUGAGGGUUAUAAAUAGACAUAAAACGGACACAUCUUGAGGUUUCUUUGUCUUCAGAGACCGCACUGUGUGUGUGUGUGUGUGUGUGUGUGUGUGUGUGUGUGUGUGUGUGGCAUGCUGCUGAAAGCAGUGUAGUUUAAAAGGAAGCAUGUUGAGAGUAAAAAGUUUAAGUUUAAACAACUUACUAUUCUUGUUGACUGAAUCUGUAAGACAUGUGUGCCUCGCUCUUCAUGGCCGAUCUCUGAAGAUAAAUCGUGUCUCUAUUGUUUGGAGUUUUGGGAGAAAAGCAAGCUGCUGUCACGUUCUAGAGCGGCAGAUGUGAGCACCGCGGUUCACUUCCUAUCCGUGCUAGGCUCUUUUCUCUCACGAGGAACGAGCUGUGCCAGGGCACUUCUUCAGAUCGGGCAGAGGUUGGUUCAGCUCUUGCUUCUGUUGAGAUGGACAUUAAAAGUGCUGCCUCCAAACGCUCCUCUCGCGAUUAUAAGCAUAUGAGGAGUUACUAGGUGGUGACUCGUGUAGUGACCAGAUUAAAGCCUUAAAGUGAGAUAUCUUGUACAUUAUGUUUUCCUUGACGAAAGGGACACUAUCUCUCCCCUAGAGGAGCAUCAUCGCUUUUUUCAAAAAAAGAAAAAAAAAAGACAGCCAAUGCUCCCUACCAAACAAUGUAGCAACAUCUACACGUGGAGGGAAAGCGUUACACGCUGUGGGUCAGACUAGUGCUGCCCUGCCCACAUGGGGGUUCUGCAGGCAUAUCAGGCUGAUCUUCUUAAAGAUCUGAGUGCCAGGAGGAGGCUUUCAAUAAGUUUCUCACUCACUGUGCUCAAGUGUUGGAGCUGUCUAGAAGAAAAAAAAGCCCAGUCCCGACCCGGUCCAGCUCCUCUGGGGCAGGAGGUUCAAAGAGAGAGUGUGGCGAGUCGUGCGCCCCCUCGUAAAGACUGGGGAGCAGCUUGUAGCACUUGACAGCCACAGAUGAAGAUGGACCUAAGAACGGUCAUUACGACCAAAGAAAGGGCCUGAAGCUGUGCCCAGGACAAAGGGUGUGUCCCCUCAGGGAGGGCCAUGGAAAAUUCCAACAGAAGUUUAGGGCUCCUUCCUGGCACCCUUAGGGGAUCACUGUAACCUCCGCCACCACAGGCCACCACUGGUGUUUUGGGGGGCAGCGAUCUCCAGUGAAAUGUUACAUGUUCGGUUGUGCCUUCAGUGUUUCAGGACACCAAACAUUUACAUUCCCCCCAGCAGAACCAGUGUCACGAUUAGUGCCCCUUCAGAGAAGUUGGCAGUGUGGAAGCUACUGCCAAAUAUCUCCCUGUGGGUAGAAGGGACUGUGGAGAAAGGCUACAGGAUUCAAAUUGUGUAUCGUCCUCCGUGUUUCAAUGGCAUUGUCUCCACUUCCGUGUAACCAGAACCUGCCAGUUCCCUUGCCAGACAGACAGUCAGGCUAUUGCAGCUGGUAUUUUCUCAUUCCCAAGAAAGAUGGGGGGUUGCGUCCAUUGUUAGAUCUUUAGAUGACUGGUUUGUGACUAUCGAUCUAAAGGACGCAUAUUUUCACAUCGAAAUCUUGCCACAACACAGAAAGUUCCUGAAGUUUGCUUUUGGGGGCGGAGCUUACCAGUAUCAGGUUCUUCCAUUCGGCCUAGCUUUGUCACCCUGCACGUACACAAAAUACAUGGAUCUAGCUCUGGCUCCUCUACGACUCCAGGGCAUCCGCAUUUUAAAUUGCAUAGACGACUGGCUGAUUCUGGCUCAGUCUCAAGAGCUUGCGCUUCGACAUCGGGAUGUCGUCCUAGCUCAUAUUGAAAAACGUUCUCUCUCCUGCUCAGAGGACAACGUAUUUAGGGGUUGAAUGGGAUUCGAUCACAAUGCAGGCACAGCUGUCUCCUGGAUGCAUCGAAUCCAUUCUAAAUGCCCUAAAGAACAUCUAGCUAGGCCAGAAUAUUACUGUUCAUUACUUUCAGAAAGUUCUAGGUCUCAUAGCAGCUGCAUCCACGGUGAUAGCUUUGGGCCUCUUGCACAUGAGAUUGUUUCAGUUGUGGCUCAGAGCCAGGGGAUUUCAUCCAAGGGCCAAUCCCCGAAGGUGAAUAACGGUUACACGCCAGGGGCUUCAUACCCUAUCUAUGUGGUUCAGACCCCGGUUUCUGACUUUGGUUCCCACUCUAGCUCCGUGUUGUCUUCGCAAGAUGCUAACAACAGACGCUUCCCUCAUGGGUUGGGGUGCGGGCUUGGAUGGCCGUCCAGCCCAAGGGAUCUGGAGAGGUCAUCUUCUCGAAUGGCACAUCAAUUGCCUCGAAAUGAAGGCUGUAUUUCUGGCCCUGAAAUACUUCCUCCAGCAGUUAAGAUGCUGCCAUGUCCUAGUGUGGGUGGACAACACGGCGGUCGUCUCAUAAAUAAAUCACCAGGGUGGACUGCCGCAGCAGGUUCUACUUUGGGCACAGGACAAGUUCCUGUCCCUCAGGGCGAUUUACAUCCCUUGGCAUAUGAAUGUGGGAGCAGACUUGCUUUACAGACAAGCUGGAAAAGCCAAAUCUGGGAAAUAUUUUAUGAAGCUUCACAGGAGACGGCACAAUGUCCCCUCUGCUUCUUUCUGUCUUCUCAAGCUCCCAUAGAUCUGGACGCCAUGGCCCAUAAUUGGCCCAAAUGGGGUCUUUAUGCAUUUCCCCCGAUCGCUCUGCUCCUGGCCAAGGUCCUUCAACAUGGGUUUAGCCUCUUACUGAUAGUGCCCCAUUGACCGACCAGAGUAUGGUUCUCAGAUCUAAUAUCCCUCUUCGAUGGCUCGCCAUGGGCGAUUCCAGUCAGCAGAGAUCUUCUGUCUCAGGCGCAGGGGACAGUAUUUCAUCCCUGGCCCGAGCUCUGAAACAUUCACAUCUGGCCCCUGAGGGGGACCAACUAAGAGAUGCUGGCCUUCCAGCCAAUGUAAUAGAGACUAUUCUAGUUGUCCUCAGGCACAUGCCCUAGUACUCUCAGAACCUAUGUGGCCGCUUUUUCGGCUAGCCAUGUUUUGAUUGACGGGGUUUCUGUGGGAAAGCACCCUCUAGUCGCCCAUUUCAUUCGUGGAGCUAAGCGGUUGAGGCUGCCCACUAGAGCUACGGUCCCUUCAUGGGAUUUAGCCGUAGUGCUCGAGGGGCUGGCUGGCACCCCUUUUGAACCAUUAGAAUCAGUGCCUGCCAGGCUUGUGACUCUAAAGAUGGUUUUUCUUAUGGCCAUUACUUGUUUAAAGAGAAUUGGGGAUUUACAGGCUUUGUCAGUCCUGCCAUCGGAGUUUAAAACACCGGAGCAGCAAAGACUUCAUUUACUGUGUCCAGUACGUGCUCUUCAGAUUUACAUCCACCGCACUAGCCAGUGGUGUAUGUCAGAGCAGCUUUUCAUAUGGGGAAAGAAAGACCAAACUAUGUCACUUUGGGUGAGGGAUGCUAUUGCCUAGCCUACGAGGCGCAUGGUCAAGCUACGCCUCUAGGAGUUAGGGCCCAUUCAACCAGGGGGGUUGCAACUUCUACGGCUUUAGCAAGAGGUGUCCCCUUGCAGCAAGUGUGUGAUGCGGCAGGCUGGUCCUCUCAGCACACAUUUGUCAGAUUAUAUAGUUUGGAUGUUCAUGCUUGAGUCAACAUCCCAGAGUCAUGUCUGAGACCUCUUCGAUGUUUGUGUGCACACACUACACAACCUUGGGGGUCCAGAAACUUCCAGUGCGGCGGCUUUGGUAUUCUUGUUCCCAUUAGCGCUAUUGAGCGCAGCAUCGAGAGUAGCUUUUGAUAGGGAACGUCUCAGGUUACUUGACUGUAACCCUGUUUCCUGAAAAAGCGGGAACGAGAUGCUGUGCCUCAAUGACGCACUGUCGAUGUGCCUGGAUGUCUCUUCAGACAAAAAGGUAACCUGAAGAAGUGUCCAUUUCACGUCUAUUUAUAACCCUAUAAGGGUGAACGUAAUCAGAUGACAUCACCUGCCGAGGUUAUUUAAGCCAAUUCUUGGUGUGUUUGACACACAUGCUUCACAACCGGUCGAACAAAGAAAGUUCUCAUUAGCGCUAUUGAGCACAGCAUCUCGAUCCCGCUUUUUCAGGGAACAGGGUUACAGUCAAGUAACCCGAGACAUUCUUGAUGAUCCGGCAAAUGGCUCUUUCAGAUGCAAUAUGCUUUGUAGCAAUUUCCUUGCAUUUGAGGCCAUUUUGAUGCACAGCGAUGAUGGCUGCACAUCUUUCUUUGGAGAUAACCAUUACUAACAAGAAUACAAUGAUUGGAAGUGCUUCUUCCUUCCUUUUAUAGCAAUCAGUGUGCUCUUACAAUCUAAUUAGUAUGACAGUGAUUUUACCUGACUAGAACUCAUUCACACUUUCAUGUGCUGCUGAUAUGAUUAGUCAAUUAAUGUUAGCUGGUCAUUUUGUGUCAGAAUCAAAAAACUUGCCAAUGAAGCAUUUAGCAAUUAUUUAAAAUGCAUCUGAUCACUCUACACAAUAAUCUAGAAACAAUGUUAAUGAACACCACAACAGCUUAAGCAGGAAACUUUGUAAAACACAAAAUUUGUGUCACUGCCAAAACUUUUGGCAACGACUGUACAGAGCUGUGGCCCUCCUGGAAUUGAGUUUGCAACCACUGCUGUACAUACUGUAAACUGUUAUAUAAAAAAAGUUAUGGAGGAAUGUCUUCCUAUAUAUAUAUAUAUAUAUAUAUAUAUAUAUAUAUAUAUAUAUAUAUAUAUAUAUAUAUAUAUAUAUAUAUCAAAACUUUAGAAUAGAUUUUAGAUUAGAUUCAACUUUAUUGUCAUUGCAAAUGUAAGGUACAAGGAUACGAAGUGCAGUGUUUAAAUAUGUAAAUUGAUAUGCAUUUUAAGCACAUUUAAAAGUAAUGAUGCAAGUGAAUCAUUGUUAUCGGUGUUUGGAACCACUUCAAAAAUUAGACAAAACUGACUCAGAAAUUAAACAAUUUUUUCAACUUUCUUGACAUUUUAGUACAUACUGUAGGUCCUGGCAAAUGAAUCAGAUUUUAUUUAAAAGGAGAAAGAAAUUGAAAUUAAAAAUUGAAAUUGAAAAAAAAGAAAGAAAAAAUAUCAAAAUUUAUCAUAUUUGCCAAGUCUAAUGGUAUUUUCUUUUUUCUUACAACAUAACCACAAAUGGAAAUCAUACAAAAAAUCAAUCAAUGUUAAUAUUCAACCUGCUGAUUGAACAUUCUCACUUUUUUUUUCCAUUGUCUUUCUUUUUACCUUUCAG
Long non-coding RNA from Cyprinus carpio carpio, 7926 nucleotides. The record is from Ensembl. NCBI's taxonomy places the organism in Eukaryota, Metazoa, Chordata, Actinopteri, Cypriniformes, Cyprinidae.